UGCAUGUAUGGCGAAUGGUAUUCGGUCGUGUUCUAUUGCUUAAAUGUCACAUGAGCAAACCUGCAGCACACAUCAAUAUUUGGUCAGAAUUAUUAGUGACAUAGAAGAAGAACAAAAGUACACAUAUAAAAUUGCUGACAGGACAAUGAGGUCUUAUCUGACCUCAGCUGACUAUUCCAUGGAAGGGCUUAGGAGUGAUUUGGAAACUGCAGAGGUGGAGUGCAAAUGUUGUGGUGUGUGGGUACAGCCUUUUAUCAGUAUCUUCAGUUUUGCUUUCCACCCUGUCACAGAAACUGUUUUAGCCAUUAAACUACAUAAGUACAUAAUUGCAUCAUUUAAGUCUUCAGGGGAGCUGAGAUCAAAAGCUGUCCAUGUUGAGGAGGGCAGUGUUUGUGGUGCUGGUGCUGUUUGCUCUCGUUCCUCUGAAUGAUGGCAGCUGCUGGCUGGGAUUUCUUAAAAAAGACGGGACUCACUGUCAGGAUAGUGUGGAUAGGACCUGGCAUGCUUUGGGAUCUGCCUGGACCAACAGCAGAUGUCAUAAUUGUGAAUGUAAUACUGAUUACAUGGCAUGCUGUACUGGAAUGCCAAUGGUGCACGUUACAGGCGACUGCACAGUGGUAUACGAUUAUGACACCUGUACAUCUGAUGUCAUUCAUAAGGAAAACGGCACAGUUCCAUGCACUGCCAUGAGCUCUGGAAAGUGAAAUAAAGUGAAAUUGGUGUAAAGAAAAGAAAGCCAAAUUCAGUAAUUCUACAUGUGAGAUAAAUUUAACCAAACAUUCUUAAUAAUGAAGGUUGAUAACUGAUACUGAGUUAUUUCUAGCUAGCUGGGAAAACUGUAUAGCUAAACUGCCUUAAAGAUAGUGUACUACAAUCUUUAGGACCUUAAUAAUGAUGGUGGAUUUGUGGCAUAUUAAAGAAAAUAUUUCUAUUCUG
Long non-coding RNA from Pygocentrus nattereri (red-bellied piranha), 936 nucleotides. RefSeq lists it as uncharacterized. The transcript is spliced from 4 exons. NCBI's taxonomy places the organism in Eukaryota, Metazoa, Chordata, Actinopteri, Characiformes, Serrasalmidae. The record is from RefSeq and is a predicted model, not a curated record.